GAUGAACGCUGGCGGCGUGCCUAAUACAUGCAAGUCGAGCGAACAGACGAGGAGCUUGCUCCUCUGACGUUAGCGGCGGACGGGUGAGUAACACGUGGAUAACCUACCUAUAAGACUGGGAUAACUUCGGGAAACCGGAGCUAAUACCGGAUAAUAUAUUGAACCGCAUGGUUCAAUAGUGAAAGACGGUUUUGCUGUCACUUAUAGAUGGAUCCGCGCCGCAUUAGCUAGUUGGUAAGGUAACGGCUUACCAAGGCGACGAUGCGUAGCCGACCUGAGAGGGUGAUCGGCCACACUGGUACUGAGACACGGUCCAGACUCCUACGGGAGGCAGCAGUAGGGAAUCUUCCGCAAUGGGCGAAAGCCUGACGGAGCAACGCCGCGUGAGUGAUGAAGGUCUCCGGAUCGUAAAACUCUGUUAUUAGGGAAGAACAAAUGUGUAAGUAACUAUGCACGUCUUGACGGUACCUAAUCAGAAAGCCACGGCUAACUACGUG
Molecule: ribosomal RNA, 497 nt
Filed under: uncultured bacterium
Lineage: Bacteria
Description: partial 16S ribosomal RNA
Rfam family: Bacterial small subunit ribosomal RNA
Source: RNAcentral